GUUGUAUAGUCAAGUAAUUAAGUGCAUGUGGUGGAUGCCUUGGCAGUCAGAGGCGAUGAAAGACGUAAUAGCCUGCGAUAAGCUCCGGGGAGGCGG
The sequence is a ribosomal RNA, 96 nucleotides long. It matches the Rfam family "Bacterial large subunit ribosomal RNA", at positions 1 to 89 of the family's 2925-position model.